UCCCUGGAGGACUAGUGGUUAGGCCUCGGCGCUCUCACCGCCAUGGUCCGGGUUUGAUUCCUGGCCAGGGAA
Molecule: transfer RNA, 72 nt
Filed under: Pangasianodon gigas (Mekong giant catfish)
Lineage: Eukaryota; Metazoa; Chordata; Actinopteri; Siluriformes; Pangasiidae
Description: tRNA-Glu
Rfam family: tRNA
About the family: Transfer RNA (tRNA) molecules are approximately 80 nucleotides in length.
Source: RNAcentral